UUUCAGCAUCUCAAUUUGUUCCUUCUUUGGGGUUUCAAACUUUUGGUUGAUGUAGACAAUCCCUUCACAAACCAACACUGAAGUUCCUUCUCGCCUUUAGUUGAAGAUGCUUGUAAAAUCCUGCGACCAAAAGUAUUAAUCAUCAGCUCGCCAACCAGGGGCCCCUGCACUGAGGGGUAAGAGAAAUGGAAUCUCUGGCUGAGCCUCAAUCAACAAGCCCUUCCAACUCUCCCUGCCCUGCCUGCCAAAGCCACUCCCUCACUGUGAUGAAGCAUCUGAUAGGGCCUCAGUAGUAGCUGAUCUUUCCACCUCAGCCGAGAUAUUUCUAACAGUAGAGACGCAGAAAACACACUCACACACACACACACACACACACACACACUCACUCACUCACACACUCACACUCACACACACUCACACACACUCACACACACACACUCACACACACUCACACACUCACACACACACUCACACACACACACUCACACACACACACACACACACACACACACACACAGUUCUAAGGUCGAGUUGCAGCAGCUGAUUUGUGGUUGGUCCGAAUCCAUCAUCCUUCCUUCAUGGCAAGAAUCAGUCGCUUCUGAAAGCUGCCCAUAUCAAGGCCACGAAAACUACUCAGGCCAGAAGGAAGAGGAUAAAGUGAGGAAUAAUAAAGUGGAGGAAUUCCAUGGGGACUGGAACAACCUCCAGGAAGUGAUGCAGAGCGAGAGGAGCAGAACCAGGAGAACAUUGUACACAGAGACUGAUAUACUGUCGUACAAUCAAAAGUAGAGACUUCUCUACUAGCAGCAAUGCAGUGAUCCAGAACAAUUCUGAGGGAUCUAUGAGAAAGAAUACUAUCCACAUCCAGAGAAAGAACUGUGGGAAUGGAAACCCAGAAGAAAAACAACUGCUUGAUCACAUGGUUUGAUCACCCUAGUGCAAAUAUCAAUAAUAGGGAAAUAGUCUUGGUCAAUGACACAUGUAAAACCCAGUGAAAUUGCACAUCAGCUAC
RNAcentral lists this long non-coding RNA (1012 nucleotides) under Monodelphis domestica (gray short-tailed opossum). RNAcentral describes it as "lncRNA (ENSMODG00000047899.1)". The record is from RNAcentral. Lineage: Eukaryota; Metazoa; Chordata; Mammalia; Didelphimorphia; Didelphidae.